RNAcentral lists this ribosomal RNA (496 nucleotides) under uncultured bacterium. RNAcentral describes it as "partial 16S ribosomal RNA". It matches the Rfam family "Bacterial small subunit ribosomal RNA", at positions 29 to 507 of the family's 1533-position model. The record is from RNAcentral.
AUGCACGCUGGCGGCGUGCCUAAUACAUGCAAGUCGCGCGAACAGACGAGGAGCUUGCCCCUUUGACGUUAGCGGCGGACGGGUGAGUAACACGUGGAUAACCUACCUAUAAGACUGGGCUAACUUCGGGAAACCGGAGCUAAUACCGGAUAACAUGUUGAACCGCAUGGUUCCACAGUGAAAGACGGUCUUGCUGUCACUUAUAGAUGGAUCCGCGCCGCAUUAGCUAGUUGGUAAGGUAACGGCUUACCAAGGCAACGAUGCGUAGCCGACCUGAGAGGGUGAUCGGCCACACUGGAACUGAGACACGGUCCAGACUCCUACGGGAGGCAGCAGUAGGGAAUCUUCCGCAAUGGGCGAAAGCCUGACGGAGCAACGCCGCGUGAGUGAAGAAGGUCUUCGGAUCGUAAAACUCUGUUAUUAGGGAAGAACAAAUGUGUGAGUAACUAUGCACGUCUUGACGGUACCUAAUCAGAAAGCCACGGCUAACUACGUG